GCAGGUGCAGACCUGAAGGAGCGGGAACAGAUGAGUGAAGCAGAGGUGGGGGUGUUUGUCCAGCGACUCCGGGGCCUGAUGAAUGACAUCGCUUCCUCGGCAGUCAUGGGACUGAUUGAGACCACGCGAGGGCUCCUCCCGGGGGCAGGAGGGACUCAGAGGCUGCCCCGUUGUCUGGGGGUGGCCCUGGCGAAGGAGCUCAUCUUCACGGGCCGACGACUGAGUGGAACUGAGGCCCACGUACUGGGGCUGGUGAAUCACGCUGUGGCCCAGAACGAGGAGGGGGACGCCGCCUACCAGCGGGCACGAGCACUGGCCCAGGAGAUCCUGCCCCAGGCCCCCAUUGCCGUGCGGCUGGGCAAAGUAGCCAUUGACCGAGGAACGGAGGUGGACAUUGCAUCUGGGAUGGCCAUUGAAGGGAUGUGCUAUGCCCAGAAUAUUCCAACCCGGGACCGGCUAGAGGGCAUGGCAGCCUUCAGGGAGAAGCGGACUCCCAAAUUUGUUGGCAAAUGACCCCCAUUUUAACCUUCAGCAUGGGAGAUGCAUGCCCUGAAGAGCAGGAUCCAGAAGGAAGAUUUGUGGCCAGAUUGCCUUCAUCAUUUCACCUCUCCAGACUUCCAUUUCUUCACAAGGAUGAUGAUGGAAAUAAAAUGACUGGCGUGAUGCCUGGAACCAAGGUGCUGAUCCUACCACCUACUGCUACCUUCCUUAGCUUCACCCUGGCUAGAAAUAAUCACGAGGGUUGGGUUUGCUUUGGAAAAUGCCUGUCUCUCUACUUGAAUGAUAAAG
RNAcentral lists this long non-coding RNA (789 nucleotides) under Homo sapiens (human). Its description in RNAcentral is "long non-coding RNA NONHSAT151602.1". Lineage: Eukaryota; Metazoa; Chordata; Mammalia; Primates; Hominidae. The record is from RNAcentral.